CCUACGGGAGGCAGCAGUGAGGAAUAUUGGUCAAUGGACGAGAGUCUGAACCAGCCAAGUAGCGUGAAGGAUGACUGCCCUAUGGGUUGUAAACUUCUUUUAUAUAGGAAUAAAAUGUUCCACGUGUGGGAUUUUGUAUGUACCAUAUGAAUAAGGAUCGGCUAACUCCGUGCCAGCAGCCGCGGUAAUACGGAGGAUCCGAGCGUUAUCCGGAUUUAUUGGGUUUAAAGGGAGCGUAGGUGGGUUGUUAAGUCAGUUGUGAAAGUUUGCGGCUCAACCGUAAAAUUGCAGUUGAAACUGGCAGUCUUGAGUACAGUAGAGGUGGGCGGAAUUCGUGGUGUAGCGGUGAAAUGCUUAGAUAUCACGAAGAACUCCGAUUGCGAAGGCAGUUCACUGGACUGCAACUGACACUGAGGCUCGAAAGUGUGGGUAUCAAACAGGAUUAGAUACCCUUGUAGUC
Molecule: ribosomal RNA, 460 nt
Filed under: uncultured bacterium
Lineage: Bacteria
Description: partial 16S ribosomal RNA
Rfam family: Bacterial small subunit ribosomal RNA
Source: RNAcentral